Molecule: long non-coding RNA, 4722 nt
Organism: Triplophysa rosa
Lineage: Eukaryota; Metazoa; Chordata; Actinopteri; Cypriniformes; Nemacheilidae
Exons: 3
Source: RefSeq, a predicted model, not a curated record
UGUGUUUUUACAGCAAUUUUAUUGUCAAUGGUUGCUACUAAGUUACUGUGUUUUUUUACAGAUAAUUUAGAUGAUUCGGAAACAGCCCCUGACUUAAGAAUAUAAUUAUUAAUGUGGUUUUAGUUUAAUGAAUCACAGAUCACUUAUUCUGGUUUGGUAUCUUUACGACUUACAGUUUCUGACCAUAAGUUUAAUACUAUUAAGAAAAAAAACGUGGUACAAAUUCAAUAGAGUUCCAGAACUUUAUGCUUGGACUGAUACAAGUUGAUCACACUGUUUGACAAAUACACCGUCUCUAUUUUAACGUAAAGCACAAUUUGAAAACAUUUCAUAAACAAACAACAAAAUAUGGCAGAAUGUAAUCAUGCCCCAAACAAGUCCACAUAUAAACACUGGGGAACACUGCUAAUACAGUGCUGCUAUGGACUGUGAAGGAAAUAAAUACUCUAGGUGGUAGACUAACUCCAACUGUGUCUCAAAUAAUGCAAACAAAAUGUACAAUAAAGAUGGGUGUAUAGUGCACACUUCAUAGCUGAACUGAAUGGAUUGUUCCACAUACAAUGUUACAGAAGAUUUCUCAAAAACAAAUAAUAAAUAGUAAAUGAUACUAUAUACAUUUUAAAAACAUUUCGCGUAAAUAAACAUUCAACUUUACUGCCAUCAUUCUGCAUGAUAAAGCAUCUUGUCUGUGGCAGCAGGUUUGAGGCACCGGUUUAACUGAAAACUAUACAUAUGCCUCUGAAGUGCACACACUGUCAUAAAUGUAGCAGGACAUUCUGCAUGCCCACACUGAAAUCUGUUGUUUUCAAGACGUCUGUGAAUUUUAAUAUGCCAAAUGAAUGCAGAAAUCGAAGCUUUACAUGUAUAAAGCAUGAUGACACCCUAACGUUAAAACGUCCACCUGCACUGUCAAUGACUAAAUACUGUUAUGUUACUGUUAAUAAAGUGACAAAGUUUAGUCCAAAGAAAACUUAAGAAACGUACCACUACUACGCAAUCUGUGCAGCUACACUCCCAUCCCAAUGCAGGCUGCUGCAGGUCGGAAUAGUGGUCGCGCCAAAAGGUGGUGAGUAUAGAUACCAAGAGGCGAAACUCUGGUGCUUUUUGGGAAACAGAGCGGCCGCCAUUUUGGGGUGAAAAGGCUUUUUAACUGACAUGGUUUCUAUCGAGCUAAGGUUUCAUCAUGUAUUAUCAUCAUUCAGAUUGGAUUUCAGCUUGAAUGUUUUUUUUAACAAAGGAGCUCAUAUUGCCAUCGCGACAGAAAAAAGACGAGUCUCUUUCACCCCAAAAUGGCGGAAAUCGCAGUGCGCCGGUGUUGCAAUGGAACGUUCUAUUGAGUUUCGGCUCUUGGUAUCUAUAGUCUUUGGCGGCGCUGCGCUGCUCCCGGACGGCAUGUGACAUCAACGUACCGCGAGAGCGAUUGUAAUAGUUACGGAAUAAGAUGCACUCAGAUUCCCCGUCACGUAAUUUUGAUGUAAUUUCGGUGAUUGGAUUUGCGCAGCGCUGCAUGACGUUUAAGUCAUUACUAGAGAGUUACAAACAGGUGAGAUGGAUCAGGGUUAAGGCUGCAGGAAGUUGAUGUCGCGGGCCACAGAGUUUAGUACCACCUGUAGCCUACAUCAUAAGCCUGUGUCAAUGCCAUGUAUUUUUGCUGCUUGUAAACAAAACCUUAUGACAACUCAAUAAAUGAUUUAUUUGAGAAAAGUCUAUUUUCACAAAAAUAUUUAAUAAUCAAUAAACAGAAGGUUACAAAACAGUUUACUGUCUAGUUGUAUUAGGCUCAAAAUAAAAAAAUAAGCUAUUAAAAGCUUGUGCGAGACAUUUGUAUCCAUUAAAUAAUGAUCGUACUUUGUUUUGGGUUAUGUCCCAUGUCAGAGGUGCCCUGAAUAUCACACAAGUUUCUCAAUUCCAAGUUUCACUGUAAUACCUGUGAACUGGGAAAAUCUCUAUUUUAAUUAUUUAAACCCUUUCUACUAUAGAACUAUGAACAGUCAUGCUUGAUUGUUGUGAUUUACCACAGGCCAGUGUUGGUUAGGUUAACAAAGUCGUUUUUUUUAGCACAUUCCUCUAAUGUGAUUUUCACAAUAUUUUGAUCAGUAUUGUAAUUUCUCACUGAAUACACUUUAAUGCUCUGUGACCCCUCAUACAGUGAUUUCCAGUGCAUGAACACAGUGAAUUACUGUAGAUUUCACAUAAUACUUGUUUGUUGUGACUUUGUACAGCACAUUCCUCUUUAAUGUGAUUUUCACAAUAUUUUGAUCAGUAUUGCAAUUUCUCAUUGAAUAUAGCCUACACCUAUAUAGCCUAAAAAUAUGGUUCUUUAGAAGGUUCUUUAAUGAUGGUAAAGGUUCUGUAUAGAACCAUGUCUUCGGAAGAACCCCUUUUCUGCUGAAAUGGUUCUUCGUAUUGGGAAAAGGUUCUUUAUUCCCGCCUAUUUUGGUUUAAAGUAGAUCAGUCAUUUAGAAGCUGCCUCCUGAUGCUGCCUGCAGACUGACACACCACACAGGUAAGCUUCAGACUGUUUUUAAUCAUAUAUUUUAUGUUUUUUUAUAAUUUAAGAUAUUCUAUGGUUAUAUAAUUUACGGGAAUCUGCUUUACCAAUUAUUUAGGAUAGUUAAAAUGUAUAUACUUAAUAUUUAAAAAAUGUAUUACAUUAACAAUAUUAUCCUAGCAUCAAUCAUUAUUUACUUCUACUGGCUGAACUUCCAUAAACCAUUUUUCUACAAUAUUUUAUGCACAUUAGCUUGAUGUUUCUUCAACAGUAUGUUGUACAACUUUUUAGGAUGUUGUUUAUUUAUUGAUAUUUCAGAGUUUCGUAUGUGACCUUGUCCUGGGAGUGAACUUGGAAGAGACGGGUAUUUCUCGUGGUGCUAACCAAGUAUCAGUUCAGCUCAGAAGUCUACUGUGUCAUACUUAAUGUUUUAAAGGUGAAUCAUAAACCAAGCUCUAAACCACUGCAGGUCUGACUUUGACGGUUGAGGCAAAUUCAGUGACACAUUCAAAGGCUCCUGAAAACACCUGAGACUGACAGACACAGCUCUGGUUCGGCCUGAUGCUCAAGGUUGAUGACCACAGCCAUAGAUGGAAAGUGGUGGGAAUCUGUGAUGAUCAUGGCCUGCAAUUUGAGCCCCAUGCCAGACCCUACUUUUGUUUUGCCAGAAACUCAAAAUCAUUACCACACAUAGGGCUGUGACGGUGGCAGUUUUUUACCACCGUGGUGGUGCGGUGGUUGAGAAAUAUAUAUUGUUUAUAAUAUAAUUUAUUAUUUAAUAAUACAUUUUAUAUAAAUAAUAUUUAUAUUAUUAUAUUUGCGUGUAGCAACCACAUGACGAGUGGAAGAGAAAUAUAGACCUUAUUUAAAUCCUUGAAAUUGAAAUAUAAUAUCUGAAAUAAAUGAGGAUGAAACAUCCGUCAAUGUUUAACGCGCAAAUCCAUCAGUGAAACGGCACGCUACAGCAUAUACAACAUUUAAAUAAACAUCAGUAAAUAAUGAAAACUUGAUGUGAUAAUGAUAUAAGAAAGCUAAAUACUAAAUAAAAAAGCUCUUGUUGCAGUAACUUCAGUCAGUGGCGUAUUAACCCUUACAACCCCAAACAAACUGUUUAAACCUACAUUGGCUUUCCUAUUCAGAUUGCCAUAAAAACUUUACUUUUUCCGACUCGUUGAUGUGAAACUUACUUGUUGACAUUGUCCAGAUUAAAAUGUGUACAGCUGCACUAAAUGCGCGUUCAGAAGAUGUGCACAGGAGCGCAAAUGAAGAGAUGUCUCUCCGCAACCGCGGCAAAACCUGCGCGCGCUCCGACACUAAGCAAGCGGGUCAUAGCCAGUUUUGAUUUUACGUAUCUGUUCAUUUCACAACAAGAUCCACUGCAAAACCCGCAGAAUAACCUGGGUUUUGCCGUGCAGGCCCGCGCUCGAACGCACCGACGGAAACGUAUGCCAAUAAUUUCUGUUAAUGUAAAAUCUUUUAAAUAAAACCAUCCACAACUGAAAGGCUACAACUAGCAAUCGUUAUCGCAACUCUCAUAUUUAUUACACCUAUAUUUGUCAAGAGUGACGUGCACUACCGCCGGUGGCAGUUCGCCACCGUCAUGGCACUUUACCACCGUGGUGGUGCGCUUGUCACGGCCACCGUCACAGCCCUAACCACACAUAAAAUAAUGGAUGUAGUUAUCUGCAAACAAUGUAAGAUGAAAUCAUUUUAUUCCCUGUCUGACUUUUUGGCUGCACUGCUUGCGGUAUAAUCUUGCUGUUAACUUUAAAUAGUAAUCAUGUAUUUUUAUAAUUUUCCUGGUUAUAUAUAUACUUUUAUUUCUAUACAUUUUUGUUCUCACAUUUCUACUGCUUUUGUGCUAAAAUGGACUAAACGUAUUUCUUUACUUUUUCCUUUGUCUCUCUCAACAAUGUAAAAUUGUGAAAGGUAUUAAUAUGUACAAAUAUAAUGAAUGUUCCAUGACAUUUAAUGAUGUGACCAGAAGGAAAUAAAAGUAUUACUUGAUUUACAUGUCUUACUUAUUGUUUUUAUACGGUAAAACGGAAAUAGAAAAUGAUAAAAUCCAUAAAAAACUAAAUGAAUUAAUUAAUAAAAAUACCUAAAUUAAAACCCUUCCUGUUUUCUGAUAAAGGUAGGGUUCUUUAUAGCACCACUGAGGUUCUAUAUAGCACUUUUCAAGGCAGGGUUCUUUAUGGAACCUUAUAAAAAGGAUUCUAUAUAGCACCAAA